UGGGGAAUAUUGGGCAAUGGGCGCAAGCCUGACCCAGCAACGCCGCGUGAGGGAAGAAGGUUUUCGGAUUGUAAACCUCUGUCGCAGGGGACGAAGGAAGUGACGGUACCCUGUAAGAAAGCCCCGGCUAACUACGUGCCAGCAGCCGCGGUAAUACGUAGGGGGCGAGCGUUGUCCGGAAUUACUGGGCGUAAAGGGAGCGUAGACGGCAUGGCAAGUCUGAAGUGAAAGGCCAGGGCUCAACCCUGGGACUGCUUUGGAAACUGUCAGGCUGGAGUGCAGGAGAGGUAAGUGGAAUUCCUAGUGUAGCGGUGAAAUGCGUAGAUAUUAGGAGGAACACCAGUGGCGAAGGCGGCUUACUGGACUGUAACUGACGUUGAGGCUCGAAAGCGUGGGGAGCAAACAGGAUUAGAUACCCUGGUAGU
RNAcentral lists this ribosomal RNA (425 nucleotides) under uncultured Lachnospiraceae bacterium. RNAcentral's name for it is "bacterial SSU rRNA". It matches the Rfam family "Bacterial small subunit ribosomal RNA", at positions 355 to 794 of the family's 1533-position model. Lineage: Bacteria; Bacillati; Bacillota; Clostridia; Lachnospirales; Lachnospiraceae. The record is from RNAcentral.